This 253-nucleotide ribosomal RNA is filed under the name uncultured bacterium. RNAcentral describes it as "partial 16S ribosomal RNA". It matches the Rfam family "Bacterial small subunit ribosomal RNA", at positions 524 to 776 of the family's 1533-position model. The record is from RNAcentral.
UACAGAGGGGGCAAGCGUUGUUCGGAAUUACUGGGCGUAAAGGGCGCGUAGGCGGGAUGGCAAGUCGGUCGUGAAAUCCUUCGGCUCAACCGAAGAACGUCGAUCGAUACUGCUGUUCUUGAGGGUUGCAGAGGAGACUGGAAUUCCCGGUGUAGCGGUGAAAUGUGUAGAGAUCGGGAGGAACACCGGUGGCGAAGGCGGGUCUCUGGGCAAUUCCUGACGCUGAGGCGCGAAAGCGUGGGGAGCAAACGGG